This 207-nucleotide ribosomal RNA is filed under the name uncultured bacterium. RNAcentral describes it as "partial 16S ribosomal RNA". It matches the Rfam family "Bacterial small subunit ribosomal RNA", at positions 568 to 774 of the family's 1533-position model. The record is from RNAcentral.
CGUGUAGGCGGUCUAGCAAGUCAGGGGUGAAAUACCACGGCUCAACCGUGGAAUUGCCUUUGAAACUACUGGACUUGAGGCCGUGAGAGGAGACUGGAAUUCCCAGUGUAGCGGUGAAACGCAUAGAUAUUGGGAAGAACACCAGUGGCGAAGGCGAGUCUCUGGCACGGUUCUGACGCUGAGGCGCGAAAGCUAGGGGAGCAAACG